AACGAACGCUGGCGGCGUGGAUUAGGCAUGCAAGUCGAACGCGAAAGAGGGGGCAACUCCUCGAGUAGAGUGGCGAACGGGUGAGUAACGCGUGAGAAACCUGCCUUUGAGUGGGGGAUAACACUCCCAACGGGGUGCUAAUACCGCAUGCGACCUCGGAGCUGCAUGGCUCUGCGGUCAAAGGUGGCCUCUAUUUAUAAGCUACCGCUCAAAGAUGGUCUCGCGUCCCAUUAGCUAGUUGGCGGGGUAAUGGCCCACCAAGGCGACGAUGGGUAGCUGGUCUGAGAGGAUGGUCAGCCACACUGGGACUGAGAUACGGCCCAGACUCCUACGGGAGGCAGCAGUCGAGAGGCUUCGGCAAUGGGGGAAACCCUGACCGAGCGACGCCGCGUGCAGGAUGAAGGCCCUUGGGUGUAAACUGCUUUUGUUCGGAAGAAGUGCGAUCAGGUGAAUAAUCUGGUCGUUUGACGGUACCGGACGAAUAAGCUCCGGCUAACUCCG
This 501-nucleotide ribosomal RNA is filed under the name uncultured bacterium. Its description in RNAcentral is "bacterial SSU rRNA". It matches the Rfam family "Bacterial small subunit ribosomal RNA", at positions 29 to 505 of the family's 1533-position model. The record is from RNAcentral.